RNAcentral lists this ribosomal RNA (486 nucleotides) under uncultured soil bacterium. RNAcentral's name for it is "bacterial SSU rRNA". It matches the Rfam family "Bacterial small subunit ribosomal RNA", at positions 26 to 508 of the family's 1533-position model. The record is from RNAcentral.
AGGACGAACGCUGGCGGCGUGCUUAACACAUGCAAGUCGAGCGAGAGCCAGUUGAGGGGUAACCCUCGGCUGGGGACAGCGGCGAACGGGUGCGUAACACGUGGGCAACCUGCCCCUGACACUGGGAUAACCCCGGGAAACCGGAGCUAAUACCGGAUACUCUCGGCCGAUCACAUGGCUGGCCGAGGAAAGGUCCGCCGGUCAGGGAUGGGCCCGCGGCCUAUCAGCUUGUUGGCGAGGUAACGGCUCACCAAGGCGACGACGGGUAGCUGGUCUGAGAGGACGACCAGCCACACUGGAACUGAGAUACGGUCCAGACUCCUACGGGAGGCAGCAGUGGGGAAUAGUUGCACAAUGGGACGAAAGCCUGACUGCAGCGACGCCGCGUGAGGGAUGGAAGGCCUUAGGGUCUAAACCGUCGUUUCGGCAGGGACGAAGCGAUCGAGUCGACGUACUGACAGAAGAACGCCCCGGAUAACCGUACGU